RNAcentral lists this transfer RNA (76 nucleotides) under Paramuricea clavata. Its description in RNAcentral is "tRNA-Tyr". It matches the Rfam family "tRNA". Rfam says of the family: Transfer RNA (tRNA) molecules are approximately 80 nucleotides in length. Their secondary structure includes four short double-helical elements and three loops (D, anti-codon, and T loops). The record is from RNAcentral. Lineage: Eukaryota; Metazoa; Cnidaria; Anthozoa; Malacalcyonacea; Plexauridae.
GACCGUGUAGCUCAGUUGGUAGAGCGUCGAUCUGUAGUAAUUCGAAGGUCGCGGGUUCAAGACCCUGCCGCGGUAG